RNAcentral lists this ribosomal RNA (912 nucleotides) under uncultured bacterium. Its description in RNAcentral is "bacterial SSU rRNA". It matches the Rfam family "Bacterial small subunit ribosomal RNA", at positions 1 to 916 of the family's 1533-position model. The record is from RNAcentral.
UAGAGUUUGAUCCUGGCUCAGGACGAACGCUGGCGGCGUGCCUAACACAUGCAAGUCGAACGGAACUGUUUUGAAAGAUUUCUUCGGAAUGAAUUUGAUUUAGUUUAGUGGCGGACGGGUGAGUAACGCGUGAGUAACCUGCCUCCAAGAGGGGGAUAACAUUCUGAAAAGAAUGCUAAUACCGCAUGACAUAUCGGAACCACAUGGUUCUGAUAUCAAAGAUUUUAUCGCUUGAAGAUGGACUCGCGUCCGAUUAGUUAGUUGGUGAGGUAACGGCUCACCAAGACCGCGAUCGGUAGCCGGACUGAGAGGUUGAACGGCCACAUUGGGACUGAGACACGGCCCAGACUCCUACGGGAGGCAGCAGUGGGGGAUAUUGCGCAAUGGGGGCAACCCUGACGCAGCAACGCCGCGUGAAGGAUGAAGGUUUUCGGAUUGUAAACUUCUUUUAUUAAGGACGAAAAAUGACGGUACUUAAUGAAUAAGCUCCGGCUAACUACGUGCCAGCAGCCGCGGUAAUACGUAGGGAGCAAGCGUUGUCCGGAUUUACUGGGUGUAAAGGGUGCGUAGGCGGCUUUGCAAGUCAGAUGUGAAAUCUAUGGGCUCAACCCAUAAACUGCAUUUGAAACUGUAGAGCUUGAGUGAAGUAGAGGCAGGCGGAAUUCCCCGUGUAGCGGUGAAAUGCGUAGAGAUGGGGAGGAACACCAGUGGCGAAGGCGGCCUGCUGGGCUUUAACUGACGCUGAGGCACGAAAGCGUGGGUAGCAAACAGGAUUAGAUACCCUGGUAGUCCACGCUGUAAACGAUGAUUACUAGGUGUGGGGGGUCUGACCCCUUCCGUGCCGGAGUUAACACAAUAAGUAAUCCACCUGGGGAGUACGGCCGCAAGGUUGAAACUAAAAUGAAUUGACGG